RNAcentral lists this long non-coding RNA (1471 nucleotides) under Marmota monax (woodchuck). The record is from RNAcentral. Lineage: Eukaryota; Metazoa; Chordata; Mammalia; Rodentia; Sciuridae.
CCUAACUUGUCUAAUCCGCUGAAGGGAACCUGUGCACGAUUCCCACGGGGCUGUAGCAGUCUCUAGAAAGCCUAGGUACAACUUUUGAGAGCUCCUGUUGCGAUCCUAGAACUCUGGGAACCACCUUAACACAAGACAGCUGUACGGAGACAGCCACGGAAAAUCGAGAACACUGGGUAGACAAUUCAAAACAAUUCUACAGUUUUCUGCUGGAGGAGAUGUGUUGGAAGUCUCGGGCCAGAAGAGAGGGUCUGCGGACAUGGUUGGGACGUGCUGAAGACCUGGAGCAACCCAGGACUGGACGUUGGUACUUUAAGCUAAGCAGAUGCCUGAAGAGAAAUAGGGACCACCUAGUAUCUUCAGUCGUUUACAGUUUUACAAAAAAGGGUGACAAUAGAACUUUUUUUAUUCAGCCCGCCCGUGGAGCACUUUUCUAGCUUCCAGAAGUCAACCUCACUAAAGAGGUUUUAAGGACCACAAGUUCCUGUUUUGCCAGUGCUGAUAUGGAAUUCACUCAAGGAUUUCAACUAUUUUAUGCAUCAAUCAACGAAUUACUUACCUAGCUUCCCUAAAAAGGGAAGAGGAACAAAAAAUUAAGUACUGUAUGACGAGCACUGUGCAAAGCAUAUAUAUGUAUCAUUCUCUUUAAUCCUCUCAAUUUCUAUAUGACUUCAUGGUAGAAAUUCCUCCCAUCUUACAGAAAAAAAAAACGAGGAUUAGAAAGGACAAUUCACUCAAGGGUUACUAGAGUUUAAGAACAGGCAGAUACCCCUCACUUUAAUACUUGGCAGUAUUAUUCAUGUAGUUCGGAUGCAACAUGCUUGGGAUAGAAGCAUCACCAGACUUUUUCAAAAAGCAGUAAGGUCAACUUAACCAGAGUUCAAGGUUGCCUUGGGUUGAGUAGAUUCAAUGUUAAUGCAGACCAAGGAACUCUAAAAGUUAAAACAUAAGUGGAAGUGAAAUCUGGGGAUAUGACUGUGGUACAGCGCUUCCUCAGAAAGUGCUUGCCUAGCUUGUGCAAGGCCUUGGGUUCCAUCCCCAGCACCACAAAAACAGCAGCAACAACAAAACUAAAAGCAUUGGGGAAUAUAAGAGGAAAUAUUAGUGCAAACAUUUCACCAUCUCUAAACCCCAACAAAUACUGUUUGCUAUACUCAUUGUGAGUCUUAUUAUUUUAAAUAUGUGACAGAGGCAGUGGAAGUUAUAUGUAAUUUUUUAAACUAUUUAAACCCUGAAUAGUAUGUCAACCCCUUUUCCACUAAUUAAAUAUUAAGCAACUAAUAAAUGUAAUAUGUUCAAGGAAUCAAAUUAUAAGUCCUUCAGGUAGAGUUACAAUUGGGAGUUAAGAUAUGAAUGAUACUUGCUGAUUCUUUACAAUUAACAGUUCAGCCUGGGGAUUGAUUCAAUAAACUUCAGCCACAAGGAUGUUAAAUUGUCACUUAGGGUGUUUCCAAUAGUCACUUCCCUAAGC